UUACUCUGGUUUCUCUGCAUCACGCAUAAAUCUUUCGCCUUUUACUAAAGAUUUCCGUGCAGAGGAACACUCAUUGAGUUUAAACUCAAUUUUUCUCAGCCCUUGAGGAAAUCAAGGGU
This 119-nucleotide small nuclear RNA is filed under the name Anneissia japonica. RNAcentral's name for it is "U5 spliceosomal RNA". It matches the Rfam family "U5 spliceosomal RNA". From Rfam's summary of the family: U5 RNA is a component of both types of known spliceosome. The precise function of this molecule is unknown, though it is known that the 5' loop is required for splice site selection and p220 binding, and that both the 3' stem-loop and the Sm site are important for Sm protein binding and cap methylation. The record is from RNAcentral. Lineage: Eukaryota; Metazoa; Echinodermata; Crinoidea; Comatulida; Comatulidae.